AAUCAUUUAAGAGCUACACAAGAAAUGAUAGCGUCUAAUACUAAUACUAUUCAUAAUCCUGUGCACAAAGAUGUAGAGAUAAUACAGGAACUCCACUAGACGGAAGAAGUGUGUGAAGGAACAGGAUGAGUGUCUAAGCAGCAAGCAGGAGGAAGAUCAAAAAUAAUCAUAAUAAUUGUUGUUGUUGUUGUUGUUGUUUUAAAAAAAAAAUCCAGAUUGUGAGUAUCCAUUUGUGCAUAAUGAAGCUGCGGAGAAUGGAGCACUGGAGAACUGGUGAGCGUCUGAUGGAAGAGGAAAAGGAAGAGCGGAAUGAUGAGAAGGAGGUGGAGAAGAUGCAGCUUCUCAUAUACAGGCAGAUUUAUUUCAGGAUCUUUUUACACUCCAUUUACACUGAAGUGUGUGUGUGUGGGCGCGUGAAAAGCUGUUGUAGAUAUUGUAGGCUAUGUAUCUGCAACAUUAUUGCAUCUUGUUAGAACGUAUGUCCACACACACACACACACACACACGCACACACACUUAGUUAACACUAAUACAUUUGUGUGCUUUCACUUACUUUCUAUUUUCAG
This is a long non-coding RNA of Ictalurus punctatus (channel catfish), 566 nucleotides long. The record is from Ensembl. NCBI's taxonomy places the organism in Eukaryota, Metazoa, Chordata, Actinopteri, Siluriformes, Ictaluridae.